Molecule: unclassified non-coding RNA, 327 nt
Filed under: plant metagenome
Description: partial contains 5.8S ribosomal RNA, internal transcribed spacer 2, and large subunit ribosomal RNA
Rfam family: 5.8S ribosomal RNA (bases 1-104)
Source: RNAcentral
AAAUGCGAUAAGUAAUGUGAAUUGCAGAAUUCCGUGAAUCAUCGAAUCUUUGAACGCACAUUGCGCCCUCUGGUAUUCCGGGGGGCAUGCCUGUCCGAGCGUCAUUGUGAACCCCUCAAGCACGGCUUGUGUGAUGGGCCCUCCCGCGUCUUGAUCGUCAAGACGGGCCCGAAAUGCAGUGGCGGCUUCGCGGUUAUCCGAUCAGCCAGAGCGUAUGGGGACUCUCUCUCUGUCACACGCCCGCGGCGCGGACCGACGCCUGUCGACCUUUAUUCAUCUUUUCUCGGUUGACCUCGGAUCAGGUAGGGAUACCCGCUGAACUUAAGC